GAUUAACGCUGGCGGCGUGCAUAACACAUGCAAGUCGAACGAUGAAACUUUAAUGAACCCUUCGGGGAGAAUUAAAGCGGAUUAGUGGCGAACGGGUGAGUAACGCGUGAGUAACCUGCCUUACACAAGGGGAUAGCCUUUGGAAACGAAGAAUAAUACCCUAUAAAACCAUAAAAGCACAUGCAAUUAUGGUCAAAGUGAUAGCGGUGUAAGAUGGACUUGCGUCUGAUUAGCUAGUUGGUGAGAUAAAAGCCCACCAAGGCAACGAUCAGUAGCCGGCUUGGGAGCGCGUACCGCAACCUUGGGAGUGGGACACGGCCCAGACUCUUACGGGAGGCAGCAGUGGGGAAUUUUGCACAAUGGGGGAAACCCUGAUGCAGCGACGCCGCGUGAUUUAGAAGGCCUUCGGGUUGUAAAAAUCUUUUGUAUAGGAAGAAAAUGACAGUACUAUACGAAUAAGGUCCGGCUAAUUACGUG
Molecule: ribosomal RNA, 477 nt
Filed under: uncultured bacterium
Lineage: Bacteria
Description: partial 16S ribosomal RNA
Rfam family: Bacterial small subunit ribosomal RNA
Source: RNAcentral